Molecule: unclassified non-coding RNA, 148 nt
Organism: Pongo abelii (Sumatran orangutan)
Lineage: Eukaryota; Metazoa; Chordata; Mammalia; Primates; Hominidae
Rfam family: Metazoan signal recognition particle RNA
About the family: The signal recognition particle (SRP) is a universally conserved ribonucleoprotein. It is involved in the co-translational targeting of proteins to membranes.
Source: Ensembl
GUCGGGCAUGGUGGCGCAUGCCUGUAGUCCCAGCUACUCGGGAGGCUGAGGCAGGAGAAUUGCUUGAACCUGGGAGGCGGAGGUUGCAGUGAGCCAAGAUCAUGCCACUGCACUCCAGCCUGGGCAACAGAGCGAGACUCUGUCUCAA